RNAcentral lists this ribosomal RNA (253 nucleotides) under uncultured bacterium. RNAcentral describes it as "partial 16S ribosomal RNA". It matches the Rfam family "Bacterial small subunit ribosomal RNA", at positions 524 to 776 of the family's 1533-position model. The record is from RNAcentral.
AACGUAGGUUCCGAGCGUUAUCCGGAUUUACUGGGCGUAAAGCGCGUUCAGGCGGUUUAGCAAGUCGGGCAUGAAAUCUCUCGGCUCAACCGGGAGAGGUUGUCCGAUACUUCCAGACUUGAGGGCAGUAGAGGGUGGUGGAAUUCCGGGUGUAGUGGUGAAAUGCGUAGAUAUCCGGAGGAACACCAGUGGCGAAAGCGGCCACCUGGACUGCACCUGACGCUGACACGCGAAAGCUAGGGGAGCGAACGGG